Molecule: non-coding RNA, 48 nt
Filed under: Trichobilharzia regenti
Lineage: Eukaryota; Metazoa; Platyhelminthes; Trematoda; Strigeidida; Schistosomatidae
Source: RNAcentral
AUCCGGCCGACGAGUCCCAAAUAGAAGGAAACGCGUGUUAUCCUGGAU